Molecule: long non-coding RNA, 233 nt
Filed under: Solanum tuberosum (potato)
Lineage: Eukaryota; Viridiplantae; Streptophyta; Magnoliopsida; Solanales; Solanaceae
Description: long non-coding RNA (STUB_LNC003623)
Source: RNAcentral
GCGGCAAAGUGAAGGAGAUGAUGGCAUAGAAGAAUUACCUGGUAGGUGUGGCGAGGUGCAGGAGAUACAACAGACGAGAGUUGCUGAACGAUUCCUACGGCUCAGAAAUUUGUUCCUGGUGUUUUUUUCUUCUCUUGUUUGAGGGGGGAAAACACACACUCCCAAUAGAAGAAGGAUCAGAAAUUGGGGUCUCUCCAGUGAUGGUUCUCCAGCUACCUUGAGCUUUGAUAGAC